Molecule: small RNA, 102 nt
Filed under: Marmota monax (woodchuck)
Lineage: Eukaryota; Metazoa; Chordata; Mammalia; Rodentia; Sciuridae
Source: RNAcentral
GCUGGGUGGGGUGGAGCAUGCCUAUAAUCCCAGCUACCCUGGAGGCUGAGGCAGGAGGAUUGCAAAAUCAAGGAUUGCUCUGGGGUGCAACUCCUGCCUGGC